CAAAACUAUACAUAUGAUCUUUAAAAAAAUUUUUUUUACAUUUAUUUAUUUUAGAGAGACAAAGACAGAGCACAAGUGGCGGAGGGACGGAGAGAGAGGAAGACAUAGAAUCUGAAGCAGGCUCCAGGCUCUGAGCUGUCAGCACAGAGCCCAACCUGGGGCUCGAACUCACAAAAGUGAGAUCAUGACUUGAGCCGAAGUCAGAUGCUUAACCGACUGAGCCACCCAGGCGCCCCAAAACUAUACAUAUUAUCUUAAAAUGGGAAUGAGGAAUAGAUAUUUUCAAAAUUCUUUUAGGAGCUGUAAGAAAAAAAGUUUGUACUCCACAGGGGGCCUUGUGGCAGGAACCGAGCACUAUAGAGAAGCAGCGCCACCUUGUGGCUAGUUGAGAGGCUGCAGCAGAAUGAGCAAAGAGUCCUAGAAAGAAGCUAUGGCCCCCGGGAUCCAGCCACAACAAACACAACAAAUAGGAACCAGAAGUCAGUCUAUAUGAACAGGUUAUAUCUUGUGUUAAAUAACAGUAUAAAUUGUUGCCAGGAAUGGAAGGACCAGCCACAUCAUAAACAUGACAUUGUUCCAGUCCCUAAGACUCCACAUUUGCAAUCGGAGAUGGGUUCACACUUUGGAAUCUGAAGCCCCCUGGAAACUCCGUGACUCCCUAUGGAGCCUGGAAUGCUAAAGACAGAAGUGAACUCUGUGACUCUCUAACUGGUGAAAGCUGCCCAGGACCCUUCCAGAAUGAAGCAGAGCAAAGUCCAGAAGAUGAAUGUCUCCUAAAACUUAGGAGCAGGUAAACCCUCUUCAAAGUAUUCAGAAUUGCUCCUUCCCUGUUCCAUUAGUGCCUUAGCCCCUGACCAAGGCCUGUGAGGGUAGCUAUUAUCUACCAUCGGCUGGGAACUUUACAUGUCCAUGGAUCUCUAACUUCCCAUUACAUUGUAAAAUAGAGCAAGCCUGCAAAAAAGUAUCAGGACAAACGUGUGCAUAGAUGAACCUCACAAACAUGCUCUAAAUGAAAGAAGCCAGUCGCAAGAGGCCACCGGUUGUCUGCUUCCAUUUAUGUGAAAUACCCAGAAGAGGCACUUUAGAGAUAGAAAGUAGAUGAGUGAUUGCCAGAGGCUGGGGAACAAGGUGGGGAGGGGUGAAUACCUGCUAAUGGGCAGAGUUUCUCUUUGAGGUGACAUAUUCUAAAAUUAGAUUUGUGUAGGGGCGCCUGGGUGGCUCAGUGGUUAAACUCCCAGCUUCGGCUCAGGUCAUGAUGUCCCGGUCUGUGAGUUUGAGCCCCUCAUCGGUUCCGUGCUGACAGCUCAGAGCCGGAGACUGGAUUCCGUAUUUCUCUCUCUGCCCCUCCCCUGCUCACACUCUGUGUGUGUGUCUCUCUCUCAAAAAUAAAUAAACAUUUAAAAAAAUUAAGUAAAAAAACGAAAAAAUUUACAGAUAAAAACAAAAUUACACUGUGGUCAUGAUUACACUACGUUGAAUAUAUUAAG
This 1487-nucleotide long non-coding RNA is filed under the name Suricata suricatta (meerkat). RNAcentral describes it as "lncRNA (ENSSSUG00005017039.1)". The record is from RNAcentral. Lineage: Eukaryota; Metazoa; Chordata; Mammalia; Carnivora; Herpestidae.